This 655-nucleotide ribosomal RNA is filed under the name uncultured bacterium. Its description in RNAcentral is "bacterial SSU rRNA". It matches the Rfam family "Bacterial small subunit ribosomal RNA", at positions 843 to 1504 of the family's 1533-position model. The record is from RNAcentral.
GUGCCGCAGUUAACACAAUAAGUAAUCCACCUGGGGAGUACGGCCGCAAGGCUGAAACUCAAAGGAAUUGACGGGGGCCCGCACAAGCAGUGGAGUAUGUGGUUUAAUUCGACGCAACGCGAAGAACCUUACCAGGUCUUGACAUCGAGUGCAUAGCCUAGAGAUAGGUGAAGUCCUUCGGGACACUCAGACAGGUGGUGCAUGGUUGUCGUCAGCUCGUGUCGUGAGAUGUUGGGUUAAGUCCCGCAACGAGCGCAACCCUUAUCGUUAGUUACUACGCAAGAGGACUCUAGCGAGACUGCCGUUGACAAAACGGAGGAAGGUGGGGAUGACGUCAAAUCAUCAUGCCCUUUAUGACCUGGGCUACACACGUACUACAAUGGCCGUUAACAACGGGAAGCCAAGCCGCGAGGUGGAGCGAAUCCCAUAAAAACGGUCUCAGUUCGGAUUGGAGGCUGCAACUCGCCUCCAUGAAGCCGGAAUUGCUAGUAAUCGCGGAUCAGCAUGCCGCGGUGAAUACGUUCCCGGGCCUUGUACACACCGCCCGUCACACCAUGAGAGCCGGGGGGACCCGAAGUCGGUAGUCUAACCGCAAGGAGGACGCCGCCGAAGGUAAAACUGGUGAUUGGGGUGAAGUCGUAACAAGGUAGCCGUA